GCCCGGAACACGAGAAGGCCAUCCUCCAAUUUGGGAAAGUAGGGAAAGAUGUUGUUUACAAUGGAUUACCAGUACCCACUUUCUGCAUUUCAGGCAUUUGCUAUCUGCCUUAGCAGCUUCUACACUAAGAUUGCUUGUGAAUGACAAACAAAAGUUAAUUCUGUUGGUUACACUGAAAAGGUGAAAGCAAUAAGAGUGUUUGGUGCACGCAAACGGGGAUGAUAUGCAGAGAAGCUGCUUGCUUGUCCAGGGGCAAGGGCUUUCAUCUGCAGACUGCAUCUUUUAUUUUGAUGGCUUCAGGUGUAAAUAUUGUGGGAAAAUGUGGGAAUAUAAAAAAUAAGAAUAAAAAGUUCUAAAUUUUGUAAAUUGUUGAUUGACAAAUUUGUUUUGUAUAUU
Molecule: RNA transcript, 396 nt
Organism: Camellia sinensis
Lineage: Eukaryota; Viridiplantae; Streptophyta; Magnoliopsida; Ericales; Theaceae
Gene name: tubby-like F-box protein 3 pseudogene
Source: RefSeq, a predicted model, not a curated record